GCUCCUGCUCCUGCUCCUGCUCUCCCCUCUCCCUCUUAGUCGUUGUUCCUUCUGCUCUCUCCCUCUUCCCCUUCGUUUUUGCGGUCUUUUCCUUCACUUUCCCUCUCUCUGAUAUGCUUUUUGGUUACGACGAAAGUACGAGAUACAUACACUCCGACAAUUAAACAAUAAUUUGUGAGUUGCAGAAGUCAUGGAGAGUGCUGGUACUGGUACUGUGGAUGAGGGAAGGUCUCCUUUAAAGUGACGCUUAUCUCUGAUCCCAAGCUCCUUUUCAAGAUGCGCAUAUAAUUCUUUCAAUUUUAGC
RNAcentral lists this unclassified non-coding RNA (304 nucleotides) under Hevea brasiliensis (rubber tree). The record is from RNAcentral. Lineage: Eukaryota; Viridiplantae; Streptophyta; Magnoliopsida; Malpighiales; Euphorbiaceae.